Belonocnema kinseyi is the source of this 397-nucleotide long non-coding RNA. RefSeq lists it as uncharacterized. Lineage: Eukaryota; Metazoa; Arthropoda; Insecta; Hymenoptera; Cynipidae. The transcript is spliced from 2 exons. The record is from RefSeq and is a predicted model, not a curated record.
AUUUUUGCACGUUUGAAAUUUAUUUUGUAUGACAAUUACAUAGAUAUAGAUAACGCAAACGAUAAUUACACUGAACAGAAGAAGGGUCUACGACAGGUGUUUUUUGAAAGAGUAUAGAAGAGGCAUCACAACGCUUAUUUACAAAAAUACUGUAAACACGAAAAGACUUUGCAACUUUCAACAUAUUCAAUAGUGUACAUGAAAAAAAUGGAUGAAACUAUCUUCUGUCUUAUGCAUCACGAAUGCUGCAUUACUUUGGGCUGCAGUGCAUGCAUACGAUCCAUGGGGAAAUUGGGGUGGUAGAAAGCGCCGUCAACUCUAAAAGAAAAUGAGCCACGCCAGUUUGAAACCUUUCUUGGAAUAACAGAAUAAACAUAAAUAAAGAAAAAUAUUGAAA